Molecule: non-coding RNA, 75 nt
Organism: Cavenderia fasciculata
Lineage: Eukaryota; Evosea; Eumycetozoa; Acytosteliales; Cavenderiaceae
Source: the annotation of a RefSeq genome assembly
GGGCUUGUAGCUCAGAUGGCAGAGCGACCUGUUCGCAUUUCGGGUAGGUGUUGGGAUCGAUACCCAACUUGUCCA